This is a long non-coding RNA of Solenopsis invicta (red fire ant), 2382 nucleotides long. RefSeq lists it as uncharacterized. The transcript has 4 exons. The record is from RefSeq and is a predicted model, not a curated record. Lineage: Eukaryota; Metazoa; Arthropoda; Insecta; Hymenoptera; Formicidae.
CUCGCAAUCGUCCUCGCACGCAAUCUCGGCCGAUUUCCCCGGAUGACGGAGUCGUAGAGGAGUCCGGAGUCCGGAGCCGUAGCCGGAGCGAUUGGUCGCCGACGCGCCGCGCCGACGUUCCCGCCCCGCGAGAGUAUCACCGCAGCUUCGUGGCUGAGUAACUCCGCUAGUUGCGCAUCGGAUCGAUAUUCUUCGAGGUGAAAAACGACGAGAAGAGGACACCACCCAUUGUCGCCGCCUUACAAUUAGACUUAAAAUAAACGAACCGCAGCCGGUUCGUCGCGUCGCGCGUUUGUCUCGGGAGUGCCGUUUAAAUAUUGGACUAAAUAGACUUUUUUCGUAACUCCCAUUUGACAGACUCCUAGUUCGAGAGCCGGAAAUCGCACCCCCGCUGCUUGGCAGUGGAUAUGUCCUCACUGGGGCGUUGCGCAUGAUGGCUAAGAAAGACGGCGCACCGCAACGUUCCAUGCCGAGUGCCCGUGCACGAGGCAAUGCUGGGUCGCAUGUUACGACAUGAUCCGUGUGCAUGUUGCGUGGCUGUCAUCUGGUUGUGUGAGGUUUACACGCUCUGUUUCUGGCGAUCGGUUCGGUCCUAAGCGGUUAGAGUUUGGAUCGGUUGUCUUGGAUUCGCGCGUUUUUCUUCCUCUGGUCCACCAUCCUAAAGCUUUUUUAGAUUCUUGAUACCCUUUUUAGAUUCUUUGGAUCUGAGGUUUAAGCUGAGUGAAUUACGUUUAAUCUGACUUGGUCAAAACUUGGCCUCAUAGGUUAAGCUUGUGUCGAGAGGCUGGCUCUCAUUUCCUGAUUUGUCUAAAAUGCUAGACGUCGGCAAUGAGUACCUUCUUCUCUCGACCUGCCGCGGGAGUGUCUUGUCGACGCCUCUUAAAUAUAAGAUUUGGUGGGACUGAUCUUGAUGAUCCGUUGGCUGGGCGUAUGAACGAGUCAAUUUUAGACAUGAUUUUUAUAAGACAAAAGGCUUCGGAUUCAAUGCCAUUGAUUUCGUUUUCUUCCGCGUGGGGCUUACCCUUUUUCAGGGGCGGGUACGCGUGCGUCCUACUCGCCGACUCGGAGUGCUGAAUCCACGGGAAUUCCUCUGAAUAGAAACUCGUAUCAUGGGUUUUAUAAACUCGAAGUGCCGUAGUGUGUUCGCGCGAAAGAUAGAUAAUUAGAUUUUAUAGAUAAUUAGUCCACGCGCGCCAAUUUAGCAUAUUAUUCGCGAGUGUUCCGCGUGUGCAACAAGAGGAAAAGGACAACCUGGAGAACACUGAGAGAAGGAGGAGGCCUGGGAGAGGCAUCGAGCCCCAGCGGAGCAACCUUGGGUAAUCACCGUAGCUUCGUGACUGAUUAACUCCGCUCGUUGCGCAUCGGAUCGGUGAGUCAAAAAUCAAUUUUCGUAUUAUAUUUUAAUAUUUUGUAAGUGUCUUGCGCAGGAUCAAAUAAAAUUUACACUAUUUAUACCCCAAUACACAUACGUACAGAUAGCAAAAUAUGCUAUCUCCGCGAUGAUAGUCGCUCACAAUGUUAACGUAGCGAGAGUACCAAUCAGCAUCGUAAAAAAGCGACAAUAACUUGGAGAAAUCGAGUAUCGAUGCAAUGCACUUUUUCAUGAGCCCUAUUGUUGAAAACAUGCGAAUAAUUUUCGUAUACGAAAGUAGCAGAAUAACCAAUGGAAUUAUUCGAUGUUAUUUUCCCAUUGUCUAUUUUGUUAUUUUUGUAUAAAUAAAUUAUUUGCAUGUUUUCAGGAAUAGAGUUCCAGAUAGGAUGAGAAUGACCGGCUCGAAUGUCAUACUACAAAGAUCGAGAAAUUCCGUCUGUUCUUCGCGCACUAAAGAGACAAAGUACAUACUCGAAAGAUUAUUAUGACGGAUUUGUGUGCUGUGGACACAAGUCACACACGCGACAUGUCCACGAACGCGCCCACACGCGUCCACGACCGCCCAUUAAGGCUUUUCUCAAUGAAUAUGUGCACGCCAAAAAUAUCACAGCACCGGAUGACGACUAAAGCCAUAACGCGUAUUUUUGUCAUCUUCUCGCCGCGAAGAUGCGGUCUCUCUUUCAUGACUCUUUCACAGUGCAACAACAGGAAGUAACGAUUCCACUACGACGACAACGAGGCCAUGCGAAAAUUUACGUGCUAUCAAACGUGAAUGUUUUGAAAACAAACAGUCAGAAGGGGAAACAUUUUUCGCAGAAAUUCAAAAGGAGAAAAUAAUAUUGCAAUUUAAUAUUAACAAAUUGUUUAACAAUUGCUAUAAAUAUUUUACAUCUAGCAACCAUAAAUACAUGGUGCAUUCGAAGAAGAAAUAAUAACGAAGCGGUGAAAAUUUGAUUAAUUUAUAUCCAUAGCGUAACGCUUUUUUCGAUGUUUAAUGCAAUGUUUUAUAA